Long non-coding RNA from Mangifera indica (mango), 703 nucleotides. RefSeq lists it as uncharacterized. NCBI's taxonomy places the organism in Eukaryota, Viridiplantae, Streptophyta, Magnoliopsida, Sapindales, Anacardiaceae. The transcript is spliced from 2 exons. The record is from RefSeq and is a predicted model, not a curated record.
UCUUCACUCUUUAUUUCUUUUCGCUUUGGUGGUCGUUUCUUCUUCCUCUCGCUCUCCCCCUCCCUCUCCCUAACUAGCUUUCAUUUCUUUCUCAAUAAUUUCUUUAUUUUUUAAUUUACAUUAAAUUAUUAAUCUCUUUGUAAUGAUGAAUCCAUGACUUCCUCUGGUUUCUUCAAUCUGUUAUUCGCCGUCGGCGUUUGGUGCAGCGCCUACAUUACAGUUGCCAUUCUUGCUUCGUUUCGUAUUUUUCAUCCUCUCUGUUUUUGAAUAUUACAAACCGUUUGCUUCAGUACUUCCACAGAAAAAGUAUACAAUUUGUACUGGCUUAAAUUGAUGAUUGCAACAAAUAUGGAAGAUGAAGAAUUUAGUGACUUUGAUCCUGACUGCACCAAUCCAUGUAGAUUUUUGAACAAACAUAUGGCCUACAUAUAUACAGAAGAUGGAUUUUUUUUUUUAUGAGAAAGGUGAACUUUUGGUGCGUAGUACAAUCUGAUGACAUGAAUUUCAAGAAUGUCGAAACAUGUUUUCUUAGGCUUUACAAUGUUUGAUUGAGUUUGAUUUCUAUGUGCUACUAUCCCCUAAAUCUUCUGACCAGCAAGAUUAAACCAUAAUGUUCUUAGCUACCAUGAGAUCUUGAAAGCAGCUUUAAUGGCUAUAAAUCUGGUUUCACCUUAUAAUUUGAUGAAAGGGGUACUUAUUAACU